RNAcentral lists this ribosomal RNA (423 nucleotides) under Triticum aestivum (bread wheat). Its description in RNAcentral is "partial small subunit ribosomal RNA". Lineage: Eukaryota; Viridiplantae; Streptophyta; Magnoliopsida; Poales; Poaceae. The record is from RNAcentral.
AUGCAUCGUAAAAUUUCCCAGGAAAAAAUGUCAGCAGAAGGCAGUUCGUCAUCCCCAUGCGCCCCAUGGCUGAUUUGCUUGGAAAAUACACCGCCACCGCGCUCCCCAGCCAGCAAGGCUCCUCCUCGUUGGACUGAAUGUCCUCCCAGCACCUCCAUUGAUGACUCUCACCGGAGCUCGCGUAGACAAAGCUCCUCCUCAAGGAAACUCGCUUGCAGCAGGUUGCAAUCUCCCAUCAUUGAAGCACACCACGUCGCGGGUCCAGCAUACAGGGCCACCGGCUGCCAGUGCUCGUGCUUGCAGCCUCGCCAGGUAAGAGCUCCGAUGUACAUGGCUUGCAGCUCGCUUUUGCAAUACAUGGUUGUAGCAAAAAUUCUUCGUCGAUCCCUGUCCUCUGGCAAUAAGCUACUAGCGGCGAGAUAA